GACGAACGCUGGCGGCGUGCUUAACACAUGCAAGUCGAACGGAAAGGCCCUGCUUGCAGGGUACUCGAGUGGCGAACGGGUGAGUAACACGUGGGUGAUCUGCCCUGCACUUCGGGAUAAGCUUGGGAAACUGGGUCUAAUACCGGAUAGGAACCAUCUUUAGUGUGGUGGUUGGAAAGUUUUUUCGGUGUAGGAUGAGCUCGCGGCCUAUCAGCUUGUUGGUGGGGUAAUGGCCUACCAAGGCGGCGACGGGUAGCCGGCCUGAGAGGGUGUACGGCCACAUUGGGACUGAGAUACGGCCCAGACUCCUACGGGAGGCAGCAGUGGGGAAUAUUGCACAAUGGGCGCAAGCCUGAUGCAGCGACGCCGCGUGGGGGAUGAAGGCCUUCGGGUUGUAAACUCCUUUCGCUAGGGACGAAGCUUUGUUGUGACGGUACCUAGAUAAGAAGCACCGGCUAACUACGUG
This 466-nucleotide ribosomal RNA is filed under the name uncultured bacterium. Its description in RNAcentral is "partial 16S ribosomal RNA". It matches the Rfam family "Bacterial small subunit ribosomal RNA", at positions 28 to 507 of the family's 1533-position model. The record is from RNAcentral.